Molecule: RNA transcript, 3966 nt
Organism: Nerophis ophidion (straightnose pipefish)
Lineage: Eukaryota; Metazoa; Chordata; Actinopteri; Syngnathiformes; Syngnathidae
Gene: mipol1
Gene name: mirror-image polydactyly 1
Exons: 3
Source: RefSeq, a predicted model, not a curated record
CUGUGUGUGUGUGUGUGUGUGUGUGUGUGUGUGUGUGUGUGUGUGUGUGUGUGUGUGUGUGUGUGUGUGUGUGUGUGUGUGUGUGUGUGUGUGUGUGUGCGUGCGUGUGUGCGUGUGUGCGUGUGUGCGUGCGUGCGUGCGCAGGUGUGUGUUUAGAAUCAGUAAAACAAAUGGAUUCAUUGAGUGAGUCAUAAGAUGUCGAAUCAGUAAAACAAACAGAUUCAGUGAGUGAGUCAUAAGAUGAAGUAGAAUUAGUAAAACAAAUAGAUUUAUCGAGUGAGUCAUAAGAUGUGGAAUCAGUAAAACAAAUAGAAAUAGAUUCAACUAGUGAGUGAGUCAGAAGAUGUAGAAUUAGUCAAAUAAAUAGAUUAAUUGAGCAAGUCAUCCGAUGUAGAAUCAGUAAACAGUACAUUCAUUGAGUGAGUCAUAAGAUGUAGAACCACGAAAACAAUUAGAUUCAUUGAGUGAGUGAGUCAUAAGAUGUAUAAUUAGUCAAAUAGAUUAAUUGAGUGAGUCAUAAGAUGUCGAAUCGGUAAAACAUACAGAUUCAGUGAAUGAGUCAUAAUAUGUAGAAUCAGUAAAACAAAUAGGUUCAUUGAGUAAGUCAAAAGAUGUAGUAGAAUCAGUAAAACAAAUACGAUUUUUAGAGUGAGUCAUAAGAUGUGGAAUCAGUAAAACAAAUAGAUUCAACUGGUGAGUGAGUCAGAAUAUGUAGAAUUAGUAAACAGUACAUUCAUUGAGUGAGUCAUAAGAUGCAGAACCACGAAAACAAUUAGAUUUAUUGAGUGAGUGAGUCAUAAUAUGUAUAAUUAAUAAAAUAGAUAAUUAUUUGUGUGUCAUCAGAUGUAGAAUUAGUCAGACAAAGAUUAAUUGAGUAAGUCAUAAGAUGUAGAAUCAGUAAAAAAUAAAUUCAUUGAGUUAGUCAUAAGAUGUAGAACCAUGAAAACAAAUAGAUUCAUUGAGUGAGUGAGUCAUAAUAUGUAUAAAUAGUAAAAUAAAUACAUUAUUUGAGUGAGUCAGACAAAGAUUCAUUUAGUAAGUCAUAAGAUGUAGAAUCAGUAAAAAAUAAAUUCAUUGAGUUAGUCAUAAGAUGUAGAACCAUGAAAACAAAUAGAUUCAUUGAGUGAGUGAGUCAUAAUAUGUAUAAUUAGUAAAAUAAAUACAUUAUUUGAGUGAGUCCGGCCACAUCAAACAUGAGGUGGACGCGGGCAAAUACUGCGGCAUGGUCAUGCUGGACAUUCAGAAGGCCUUUGACACUGUUAACCACGCUAACCACGCUAUACUGUUGGAUAAGCUCCGAGCAAUCGGAUUCGACGAAACCUCAUCGAGCUGGAUGCAAUCUUACUUGGAGGGGAGGAAACAGAUGUUAGAGGUGAACGGCACCAUGUCCCCUCCCCUCUCAGUAAGCUGUGGAGUCCUCCAAGGCAGUAUACUAGGACCUUUACUGUUCCUAAUAUACGUAAAUGACAUGCCAUCAGCAUGCCACUGUGAACUGUUCCUGUUUGCGGAUGACUCGGCCCUUCUGGUAUCCGGCAAGGACAAGUCACAGGUGGAACAAAUCCUCAGUGCUGAACUCCUUAAUAUUUGCACCUGGCUUGCUGACAACAAGCUAUCCAUACACUUAGGUAAAACGGAAUCCAUCCUAUUUGGGUCCCAUAUCAAACUUAAGAAGGUCAGUGACUUCACUAUAAAAGUGGGUGACAUUGUUAUCACCAGGAAGGAUGAGAUCACCUACCUAGGUUCCAUUCUAGAGGCUAAUCUUUCCUGUGAUAAAAUGGCAACCAAGGUGAUCAAAAAGGUCAACCAAAGAACGAGAUUCCUCUACAGAAUCUCCUCUCUGGUCAACAAAAGCACCUUGAGGAUUCUAGCGGGAACUCUCAUUCAACCCUUCUUCGAUUACGCUUGCACCUCCUGGUACCCCAGCACCUCCAAAACCCUCAAAUCUAGACUCCAAACAUCCCAGAAUAAGCUAGUCCGGUUACUUUUAGACAUCCAUCCCAGAUCACACCUCAAUCCAACCCACUUCUCCAAAAUGUGCUGGCUCAGGGUGGAGGAUAGAGUAAAACAACUUGCACUGAGCCUAGUCUACACCUCCUUGAUACCGAAGUACAUGUUAAACUACUUCCUUAACCUAAAUGACCGCCAUAACCACAACACCAGGGGGAGCUCCACAAACCACGUUAAACCCAGAUUCCGAUCCAACAAAGGUCUUAACUCAUUCUCUUUCUAUGCCACAUCAAUGUGGAAUGCACUCCCAACAGGUAUAAAAGUAAGUGCAUCUCUAUCCUCCUUUAAAACCGCUCUAAAACCUAAAACAACACCUCCAGGCAACUUCAACACUUUACUAAUACCCUCCUCCAUUCACAUCCCAUCUCCCCGGAUUAUAAACAACUCAAAUGUACUUCUAAUGUAUAUACUGUACUUGUUCUUAUGCUAUCUGAACUCACUAUGUUCUCCGCUGGCUGUACAUAUCCUACUAAAUAAGACCUACACUGUUUCAAUGUCCACAUUUCUCUGUUGAUGCAAUUGUUGAUGACUGAAGUACUGAUAUCAACCAAAGCUCCUCAUCCCACCCCCCGGAUUGUAAAUAAUGUAAAUAAUUCAAUGUACAUACUAUGAUGAUUAACUUGUGUGAUGACUGUAUUAUGUUGAUAGUAUAUAUUUGUACCAUGAAUUGAUUAACGUGGACCCCGACUUAAACAAGUGGAAAAACUUAUUUGGGUGUUACCAUUUAGUGGUCAAUUGUACGGAAUAUGUACUGAACUGUGCAAUCUACUAAUAAAAGUAUCAAUCAAUCAAUCAAUCAAUCAAAGUCAUCAGAUGUAGAAUUAGUCAAAUAGAUUCAGUGAGUGAGUCAUAAGAUGUAGUAGAAUCAGUAAAACAAAUAAGAUUAUUAGAGUGAGUCAUAAGAUGUAGAAUCAGUAAAACAAAUAGAUUCAGUGAGUCAUAAGAUGUAGAAUUAGUCAAACAGAUUCAAUGAGUGAGUCAUCAGAUGUAGAACCACAAAAACAAAUAGAUUCAUUUAGUGAGUGAGUCAUAAGAUGUAUAAUUAGUCAAACAAAUCGAUUUAUAGAGUGAGUCAUCAGAUGUAGAAUCAGUAAAAAGGACAUUCAUUGAGUGAGUCAUAAGCUGUAGAUCCAUGAAAACAAAAAGAUGUAUUGAGUGAGUCAUAAGAUGUAUAAUUAGAAAAUAGAUUAAUUGAUUGAGUCAUAAAUUGUACAAUCAGUAAAACAAAUUGAUUAAUCGAGUGAGUCAUAAGAUGUAGAAUCAGUAAAACAAAUAGAUUCGUUGAGUGAGUCAUGAGAUGUACAAUCAGUAAAACAAAUAGAUUAAUUGAGUGAAUCAUAAGAUGUAGAAUGUAGAGUCGAGACGACCAUGAGCACGGCAUCGCCAUGGCAACCAGACACCUGUAGGUUAACCUCUUUUUGAAGACCUUUGGCCCCAACAAAGCCCCAAUGAACUCUUCCUAUUGGACCAUUUUUAGUGGCUGGACCCGGCUCCGCCUCCAGCACGGCUCCAUUAACCCCGCGUCAUCGGGCUCAGCUGCUAGCGCGCGGCUAAAUCCCGCCAGUGUCAGCCAUCUUUUAGCCGCCGUCCUCCACAGUAACACCUUCAUCUGGCCGCCGCGCCCGCAAUAUGUUUCAAUGGCUUCUAAUCCCCGCUGGCGAGGGAGAGAAGAAGACUGGUGAUCCCCGGCGGGCGAAGAAAAGCGAGAACACUCCAUGAUGGAGGACUCCUCUCCUCCCCCCGCUGCUCGCCAUCCCUCGCUCCCUCUCCUCAUCUCUCAGGGAUUAUCUGCCGCCGCUGCCGGGACUUGUGGGAAAUAUUAGAAAAGUGCCGCAGGCUGCAGCAGGAAGUCUUGAUGCAAGACAGGAAGCACCUGGAAGCCAAGAAGCAGCUGGUCAAAGGUCAGUCAGAGCGAGAUGCAGCUUUGGAAAGGGAGCAUGUGCUCCAAACCAAUCCCAG